CUGUGAAUAACAUGAGAGGAGAGUCUCGGACAACACGUGUGUUUUGAUCGAGAAGGAGAGGUUAAUUGCAGCAGAGGCAAAUAUGGUGUCUACGAAAAAGGAGAGGCAAGGCAAGGAUUCAAAACAAAAUGAGUCACUUAAAAACUGUAAUGGCUCUUCCCCCAUUAGUAAAGCCAUGAAGCGAAAUGCUA
This is a long non-coding RNA of Penaeus monodon (black tiger shrimp), 191 nucleotides long. RefSeq lists it as uncharacterized. The transcript has 3 exons. NCBI's taxonomy places the organism in Eukaryota, Metazoa, Arthropoda, Malacostraca, Decapoda, Penaeidae. The record is from RefSeq and is a predicted model, not a curated record.